GAUGAACGCUGGCGGCGUGCCUAAUACAUGCAAGUAGAACGCUGAAGGAAGGAGCUUGCUCUUUCCGGAUGAGUUGCGAACGGGUGAGUAACGCGUAGGUAACCUGCCUGGUAGCGGGGGAUAACUAUUGGAAACGAUAGCUAAUACCGCAUAACAGUAGAUGUUGCAUGAUAUCUACUUAAAAGGUGCAAUUGCACCACUACCAGAUGGACCUGCGUUGUAUUAGCUAGUUGGUGAGGUAACGGCUCACCAAGGCGACGAUACAUAGCCGACCUGAGAGGGUGAUCGGCCACACUGGGACUGAGACACGGCCCUGACUCCUACGGGAGGCAGCAGUAGGGAAUCUUCGGCAAUGGACGGAAGUCUGACCGAGCAACGCCGCGGGAGUGAAGAAGGUUUUCGGAUCGUAAAGCUCUGUUGUAAGAGAAGAACGAGUGUGAGAGUGGAAAGUUCACACUGUGACGGUAGCUUACCAGAAAGGGACGGCUAACUACGUG
RNAcentral lists this ribosomal RNA (497 nucleotides) under uncultured bacterium. Its description in RNAcentral is "partial 16S ribosomal RNA". It matches the Rfam family "Bacterial small subunit ribosomal RNA", at positions 28 to 507 of the family's 1533-position model. The record is from RNAcentral.